GCGGAGGAAAAGAAACUAACAAGGAUUCCCCUAGUAACGGCGAGUGAAGCGGGAAGAGCUCAAAUUUAAAAUCUGGCGGUCACCCGUCCGAGUUGUAGUCUAGAGAAGCAUCAUCUACGCUGGACCAUGUACAAGUCUCUUGGAACAGAGCGUCAUAGAGGGUGAGAAUCCCGUCCUUGACAUGGACUCCCAGUGUUCUGUGUUGUGCUCUCAACGAGUCGAGUUGUUUGGGAAUGCAGCUCAAAAUGGGUGGUAAAUUCCAUCUAAAGCUAAAUAUUGGCGAGAGACCGAUAGCGAACAAGUACCGUGAGGGAAAGAUGAAAAGCACUUUGGAGAGAGAGUUAAACAGUACGUGAAAUUGUUGAAAUGGAAACGCUUGAAGUCAGUCGCGUUCUCUGGGAUUCAGCCUUGNCUUUUGCUUGGUGCAUUUCCUAGUCUACGGGCCAGCAUGGAUUUCGACCGUCGGAAAAGGGCUGGGGGAAUGUGGCACUUUCGGGUGUGUUAUAGCCCCCUGUCGCACACGUCGGUUGGGAUCGAGGACCUCAGUGCACGCUUCGGUUGUGCUUUGAUGCUGGCGUAAUGGCUUUAAACGACCCGUCUUGAAACACGG
This 610-nucleotide ribosomal RNA is filed under the name Ceratobasidium sp. CBS 148.54. RNAcentral describes it as "eukaryotic LSU rRNA". It matches the Rfam family "Eukaryotic large subunit ribosomal RNA", at positions 50 to 664 of the family's 3401-position model. The record is from RNAcentral. Lineage: Eukaryota; Fungi; Basidiomycota; Agaricomycetes; Cantharellales; Ceratobasidiaceae.